Molecule: long non-coding RNA, 3232 nt
Organism: Athene cunicularia (burrowing owl)
Lineage: Eukaryota; Metazoa; Chordata; Aves; Strigiformes; Strigidae
Exons: 3
Source: RefSeq, a predicted model, not a curated record
GGCCUGCACAUCCACGGGCAGCUGUUGUGUGUCUUGACACCUCGCUGUGAGGAUCCUGCAGCUCUUGCUGCUUUGAGGCUCGCAACACUGUGCAAAAUGGAGAUGGAAAAGAAAUACUAGGUCACCUAGUCCAUCUCAUAGGCUCAGGGAAGACUGUUCUUUGCUUAAUGUUAGCUUUUCCUCUGAUUUCAGCAGGUCACUUUCCCUUAGUCCUCCUCUGCUUUCUUCUUUCUUAAUCUCAGGCCCUGGUGUUCUUUGGGUCUACAUUCAGCUGAUUUAGGAUUAAUACCAAAUGCAGUUGGCUUUGCAUUUGCGAAAUAAUCAACCGGUGUCACUGCAAGUAUUCAAGAUAUGUAAAAACUUAAAAAUCAAGGCAAGCAACUAGCCCAGCUCACCUAGGCAGGAAAUUUCAGACACAGAAUUAAGAUCACGAGCAACAGUCCAGCAUCAAUGUAGACCAGCGCUUGUCUCGUGGAUGUCUUUUGGUAAGCAUAGCGGAUCCGAAAGCUACAGAGACCUACCGAACCUACCACCCAAUUCCAACAGCAUCUCAAGGUCUAACAAGAUAAUAAAAGGAAGAAAAACACCAAGGAUGCUAGCAAACUGUCAAUAUAGGGAAUUUACAGAACACUCCAGCAUCUCAGAAGUCAGUAGAGAAAAAUCACUGGAAGAGAGUGAUACUGCAACAUCCCAGUCUAACCCAUAGGCUGGAGAUUUUGAUCCCUGUAUACGAAAAGAUCUAAUACAGAGUCUUCAAAUCAUAUUUUGUCAUAUUGUGAAGGACUUGCAUUGUCCAUCUGCACAGAGAUUAAUUUCACCUAACAUGAUUUGUUGUAUUGAUUUCAGUGGGAUUAGCCAAGAGUACAAAGAUGACUACGGUUGUACGCUUACAUUGACGUGAACAACAGAAUGCGGUUCUGAUAAUCUGCCAUGUUUGGGAGACAAGCAAAUCCUUCAGAAAGCCAGUGGCUUAUUUACAAAGAUCUGAUAUUAACCAUAUAGCCAAUGUUAACAGAAGUGUUUUCAUGCUUUGUGAAACUUCCAUUCCUAAUUAAAAGUUGUUUGGCUUUGUAAGUCACACCUUGUAGCAAUGUGCUGGAUCUCUAUUAUUCCAGUAUAAAACUGACUGUUUGCUUGCUCUUUCAGCACAACAGAAGGCAUAAGAUGUGAAAAGACAAUUGCAGAAGGGUUUUGUAAUAGCAGUUCUCACCUUAUAUCAAUUUGAAGAGUCUUAAGCAUUUUGCAGUAGAUCUGCAGGGGUUCUUAUAUAGCAAAUUGAAGUCAACUGACAAUAGGUUUACUCUUCGUGAUUACCUUUUGCAGACUCUUCAGAAGUAGCCUGUGAGUCCCAAGGAGUCCACAGAGAUGAUUUGCAGGAAAAAAAAGGAAUACUUAUUUAUUAUAAUCUCUGUUAAAUGUUGUUUCAGUAUCAUUUUAUCUUGAAACUGCUCUUGCACAUGUAAACUGCUAGGAUCCUGUUUUCAGUUCUGCUGUGUCCUCAUAACCACUCAAUAAUAACUAAGUGCUCGAGCACUAACAGGAGGGUAAGAUCACCGCUAUCACUGAACGUCUAUUUUUGUUGAUGUUGCUAGAGCAUCCUACUUUUGCUGCUGAAGCUCUGUGUUGUAUACACAGCCAUUACACUCAGUAAGUUUGAAAGCAGAUUUCUCAGUGUAACUGACUCAGUCACGGAAGAGGUGCCCAUCUAUCUGCUGUUUGCAGUCCCUCAGUUCUUAGUGUUACUUUUCAAAAUACACCACACCAAAUCCUCAUCCAGCGUAACGCACCUUGGAUCAAUGAAAUAAAUUCUACUGUGUAGGAUAAAUGAGCUCUGUGUGACUUUUCUGCAAUGUAAAUGCAGUUACCAUAUUUUGCAUGGCACAAAGAUUCUGAUCAAUGCCUGCACACCAGUGAAUGAUCUAUAUAUUUAAUUUCACUGUUUUCAUCAUUCCAUGUCUAUUAUUUAGGAACUAGGUAGCAGACCCCACAAUCCUUUCAGCCAUCCCUUAAGACUAAAGUUUAGUCAGAAAUUUCCUUUCAUUUAAAAAUUAUUCUAUAAUCCUGAAUUUAAUUUUUUUUUUUACUAUUUAGCUUAGCUAUAUACAUACCCCCCGAAGAAUCAUGUUUCAAGAGUGCAAAAUUAACUGAAAAAAGAAGCACUGUGAUUUUUAUUGCUUCAAAUAAUGUAAAGAAAUCUUGACAGAUUUUUUUACUCUUAAAUUAUUUUAUCUUUUAUAUUGCUUUCUAAAUAUUAGGGAUAUCAAAUGUGAUUGUUCCCCAUUCCUACUGGAGGACCUUCUGGUAAUACAGAGAACUGUUUAAAACAUCAAAUCACAACUGGACGCUCAAUCUCAGAUAAUAAAUCAUGUAUCUUAACAAAUGCAAAACAAUAAAUGUAAAUCAAGUCAAAUCCUUCCUUUCCAUGAGUCAGAUGCUAUUUCCUUGGUACUUAUGAUGCAGCAGCCUGGAGUUUAAUCUAAAAACCAUUACAUUCAUUAAGCAUCAUUCUGCUGACUUCAAUGGUCUUUGAAUAAAGCUAAUAGCCUAUUUUGUUCCUACAUAUCCAGUGUUGAGGUGCAAAGGAGGCUAGAGAACAACAGGAAAGGCAGGACUAGAAUUUUUUUAUUUAAAAUGUCUUAUAAGCUAUUUAUUCAUAUAUCAGAAAGUAUAAAAUAAAAGAGCAUGGGUUGUUGGUUGGUUGGGUUUUUUUUUUUUAAGAAUAAGGUGGUAGCGAGGGAAAAGGUGUCAGAGAGGUCAUGUUAUAGUUCUACUUGGAAACCUGUUUACAUAAAAAUCACUUUUUCAGAAGGUGUAGCUCUUCCUCCUGUAUCUAGGUUAUGACACUGACUCUGAACAGCAUCCAACUCCACAAUUACUUUCAUGGCGAUUAACCAGUUAAUUAAAUCUCUAAAAGCAAGACAAUUUAGAAUUGUCCUUAACACCUUUGUGUUAAUCAGCUGUACACAGUUAUCAGAAGGGUUAGUUAAGUGGUGGCCAGUCUUACAGUAGGUUUCUCUGGGGCUGUAAUACUUUAGGUGUGAGGUAGUGGGUUAAAGAGGAAAUGCAAACGUGUAAUUUUAGACUUAACUUUGAAAUUUCUCACUUUUGUGUUGCAAGGCAGACCUUACACAUUACUUUGACAUACUGUUGUUAUUUGCAAUGUAAUCUUGUAUAAUAAUUAACUCCAAGUGAUCCACUGCAGUGCUUUAGCAAAGUAUUGGCACCUAUUAAA